GACCUCGAUUAUCGCUGCUGUGGAGCAGGAGCGACUUAUGCACGAGGUGGCGAAAAAUGUUUUAUUUGUGUAAAUAUUUGAAAAUUGAAAAGGCAAAAUAUGAGAAGAAUUUGAAAGCCAGUGAGCUUUUGGGCUAUUGAGUUAAUAAGCCCAUUAUUUUGAUUGGAAGAUGUGAAAUUACGACUUAUAUUUCAACUAAAUUUGUACAAGUUACCGAAGCCGAGAAUAACGAAGACACGAACGAAGAACGAACUUCCUGAAACGAAACAGAACUUUUGUUUAUAUCGAUAAAUGUAUAAGCCUGAACAAGUGAACAUUCAUCACCGCCGAGGCGACAUGAGUAACGUUUGGUAAGUGUGCGGACUGUUCCAGUGGCGGUGAUCUUGGCGCUGUGUUUAUGUGUUAUUUGUUCCGUCAUUGUGUCAAAAUCGUGUUGUUGUUUUUUCGCAGAAACCGUUUGCCAAGCCAAAAUUGAAUAUAUCUCUCAGGACGGGCUGUGCUGCACCACUAAAUGAUUUUGAUUCAUUUAACCAGCCGUCAUUUUAACUACACACUCUCACAAACCAUAAAACGCGCUUCAAUCACUCACGGCGGUGACGACAGUUUCAAACGCUCAAAGGUCUCUGUCAUACAUCCCUCUCAGUUAUCUGACUUAUUUCGCUGAAUUGUUAAUCCAAGAAGUUUCUUAGCUAAAAACAGUCAUGUCUGAGGCAUCAUCGAAGGGGAAACAAAGCCGUCAGUACGCGUUGGCAAAACUCACAAGACUCAGACGAAGGGCACAAGUCGCGGUCGAUGCUAAGGGGAGCCGGACUAGUCUGCUGAAAAUGAUGUCUGAGCUCGAUGAAGCUUUGGCGAAUUUGCAAGUAAAAAAUGAUGAAUAUAUCGAAACUCUCGAUGGUGCAGAUGAAAUAAAGAAGGCCCAAAGCUAUGUGGCAGAAGCAGAAUGUCAGUACCAUGAUACAAUGGAUCAGAUAGAGAAGGCAUUGGUGGAUAGGAAGGACGAACCGGAUGCAUCAGCCAAUGGCUCCGAGUGUUCUUCAGUCUCUCACAUAUCUGAAGCAAAGAAAACGGAAAUAAUAUUGAAAGUUAAAGAAAUGGAGCUGCAGCAGCUUAAAAAUCGACAUGAUAGAGAACGAAAAGAAGAAGAGUUGAGAAGAGUAAAUGAACUUGAAAAUGCGAGAGAUACACAAGCAACAGCGGAGUUAGAAGCAAAGUUAACACUCGCUGCCGAAAAUGAAUUGCAAUGGGAGAGGCGUGAUGAUUUUGUCGAUAGACCCUGUGUGGAUAUGGAAGGAAAUCCAAGCCGUCAAGUGACGGGAGAGCCCAACCCUGUUGAUUCAACAUCCUCCGCUCCUGCCGCCGCUGGAUUCCAGCGGGCCAUACAUACUGGACAUCACGCUGGUACCGAUGGCGGUCUGUUGAAGAAUCUCCCCAGGUUAGAGCUAACCAAGUUCAGUGGAGCUCCCGGGGAAUGGCCGCGCUGGUUUGCGCUUUUCCAAACUCUGGUUGGCAAUCAGUCUGCCCUGACUGACACAGAGAAGAUGGCGCAUCUCCAGGGCGCCGUCAUUGGUCCAGCUCAAAAAACAAUCUCCGGAAUGCUUUAUGACGGUCGACUUUACCGCGCCGCUAUAGCUGCGCUACAAGAUCGCUAUGGAAGAGAGGAAGACAUUGUGCAUUCGAAUUUAGCAGCUGUUUUUUCCUGUCCUUCGCCGAGAUAUUUAGAUCCCGAAUCAACCGAUCGGUUCCACGCGGCCGUUCAUUCUGCCGUCUCGGUCUUGGAAAAUCUGGGUUAUGAAAGUGACUUGCAUAGCUCAGAGAACUUGCAUAACGUGGCGAGAAAACUCCCCUCUGAACUGAAGAGAGAGUGGGGCCAAUAUGUGCUUGAUUUGGAGCCCUCCAGACCAACGUUGGUAAAUUUUGAUAUGUGGCUGCGUCGGCAAGUACGGGUAGCUAUAAAUUACGCGGCAGUGGCAACAGAAGAAAACCGACAGAGUCGAGCCAAAAAACAUGACGUGACUGCUGUUCCGCUUCGCAGAGCCGCCCUCAGCACUGAAGUGGAACAUUCCGGGGCCUGUAUAUACUGUGGAGAAAAACAUAACGUAGACACAUGCCCCUCAUUCUUAGAGAAGGACGCAAAUCGAAGGGCCGAAAUUGUCGCUUCUUCUGACGUCUGCUUCUAUUGCCUCAAACGGGGGCAUAGGGCGCGCUAUUGCAGAACAGCCAGGCCGUGCGGUCUAGAGGGAUGCAGGAUGCGUCAUCAUCGUUUGCUGCAUGGGAGCCAGAGGGUACGGCGACCUAUCCCAGAAGCAGAGGCCAGGCGGAUCGAGGACACGGCGGACAGCCCCGGUACUCGAGUUAUAGCUGCUGCGUCCAAGCCUGACCACGGCGCAGCCACCUUGCUUCAGGUCGUGCGUGUUCGCAUUCUGGGAAAUGAAGGGCGGUCCCGGGCCGUGAACGCACUUCUCGAUCCCGGAUCACAAACAUCACUUUGCUGUGAAGAAGUUCUUACUGAUCUUGGACUGACCGGAGAGAAACAAGGACUCCAACUCCAAACGGUGAGAGGUCGCGGCACGGAACAAAUUUCCCAUAGGGUGACAUUGAGUCUUGUCCCCGCCCACGAGCCAUGGUCAAAACCCAUAUUUGUCUCGGAGGCAUUUUCAGUUCCCGAUUUGUACGUUAAAACUCCGAGUCUUGAAAAGCGCAUGCAAAGCUGGAAACACAUUCGUGAUCUUGACAUAGCCGGUUACAAUGGACAAAAGGUUGAGCUUCUUCUUGGGGCUAAUGUUAUCGAGGCUGUACUUCAACUGGAGGCUAGGAUGGGCAAACCCGGGGAGCCUGUCGCCGUUAAGACGGCAUUUGGUUGGGCGCUCUCCGGCUCACUGCACAAUCUUGUCCCUGAGCAUGUACGGCAGAUUAUGUUGGUUCAAAAAACAGAGUCAGAAGAGGUGCCAGUCUAUGUCCAAGAAUGGUGGAGUACUGAAUGUUUUGGUACAAAAUACGUGGAUAAAACAUCAAUGUCUACCGAAGAUAGACGAGCCAUACAGAUUUUAGACGAGACUACGAUGAAAGUUGGGGACCGUUACGAGGUGGGCCUGUUGUGGAAAACAGACGAUGUUCAUUUGCCUAACAACUACCAUAUAGCUUACCAUCGCCUACUUUCAACUGAGAAGAACAUGAGCAAGAAUUCAGAAAAGGCGGCAGCAUACGAUGAGGCGCUCAUGGGAUACGUUAAGAAGGGUUAUGCGCGCAAGUUGACACAAGAGGAAGUUGAAGCUGCCAAGAUGAACCCCAAGACAUGGUUUCUCCCACAUCACGGGGUUUCAAAUCCUAACAAGAAAAAGUUGCGUGUAGUGUUUGAUGCAGCAGCAUCAUGUCAAGGAACGUCACUAAAUGACAAUCUUCUCACAGGGCCAGACUUGCUGCAAAACCUGGUGGGGAUCCUCAUCCGCUUCCGUGAGGAACGUGUAGCAAUUAUGGGGGAUAUCACCGAGAUGUUCCAUCAAGUGAAGAUGCGAGUCGAAGAUCAGCCCGCGCUGACGUUUCUGUGGAGAGGCGGGGACACGUCUAAGACGCCCGACCAUUACAGGAUGCUAGUGACCAUAUUUGGCGCUAGAUGUAGUCCAGUGGCAGCCAGCUACGUCCUUCAGAGAACCGCAGAUGACCACAGGGAUGACGCAGAAUCUGCUGUUAUCGUCUCAGCGAUACGUCAAAGCUUUUAUAUGGACGAUUUUUUGCAUUCGGCUACUAGAACAGUCGAGAAAGCCAAAAUGAUAAAAAAUGGAGUCACGGAAAUAGUUGGUCAGGGAGGAUUUGUACUGGCAAAGUGGGUAAGCAGUCACUCAGAGGUUCUUGAAGAUUCAGAAUACAACUCUGGUAUUCCCGCCGUUGAUUUAAUGCGUCAAAAGGGAGAUUUGGAACGGGCACUGGGAUGUGUUUGGAUACCGGAAAUGGACCUGAUCGGUGUCAAGAGCCGCUUUACAGAGGUACCAGAGACGAAACGAGGAGUGCUUCGACGAGUGGCAAUGAUUUUUGACCCGCUUGGUAUUGUUGCCCCAUUCACGCUACGCGCCAAAAUACUGGUACAGCGACUGUGGUCACUAAACUACGGCUGGGAUGACCAACUGCGGGCAACUGAGCGCCAUGAAUUUCUUGAAUGGGAAUCCGAGAUUCACUACCUUGAAAAUAUCCGCAUUCCUCGCUGUUAUAAAGCAAGGCUGACACAAGAACCAGAUGAAUACCAGCUUCAUGUGUUUUGUGACGCAUCAGAAGCGGCCUUUGGCGCUGUGGCGUACGUUAGAAUGACGAACGAGCGCCGUGGGGAAGGUGAGCAGACGGCUCUUUGUUCAUUCGUUAUGGCGAAAACACGACUAGCACCACUGAAACAGCUCACCAUAGCUCGACUGGAGUUGCAAGCGGCGGUGUUAGCCUGUAGACUGGCUGCAAGUAUCAAACAGUCAAUCACCUACCAUCUCUCCCGUACUCUGUACUGGACAGAUAGCAAGAUCGUACUGGCUUACGUCCAGCAUGAGAGCCGCCGCUUUCAUACGUUCACGGCGAACAGAGUUGCCGAAAUAUUGGACUUAUCCUCCUGCGAAGAUUGGAAGCACGUCCCGGGCCAUUUGAACCCAGCGGAUGCCUGUUCCCGCGGAGCCUCCGGCGCCACGUUGAAUGACCUAGAGUCAUGGUGGGAAGGUCCAGAAUUUCUGAAGAAAACUGAAGAAUUUUGGCCCUCUCAAGGAAUGGGUUCAUCAGAUCUGGACCACGCCGAUCCAGAGGUGAGAAGGACUCCGCAUAUUUUGAGCACUCAGGUCCAGACAUACCGGUCAGUACUGCCAGAUCCAGCACGAUUUUCGUCAUGGAACAAGUAUACUAGAAUCGUAGCAUGGAUCAAAAGAUACAUCGACAACCUGAAAGCCGCUGUGCAAAAACGUACGUUGGUUCUUACAGCACUGAAUGGUCCUGAAAUCGAGUCGGCAAAAAUGAUGAUUUUGAAAGACGCGCAGCAGCGAGCAUUUUCAACUGACAUCAAAAAGAUAGCAACAAGCGGUUCAGUGCAUCCCUCCAGCCCUCUGCUGAGCGUGUCACCUAUGCUGGAUGAACAGGGACUUUUGCGAGCCGGCGGCCGUCUCUCCCUCGCUCCUAUAUGUGAAGAUGCUAGACAUCCAGUCAUCCUAAGUAGAAAGGAUGAGGUGACGCGCAUGCUAAUACAAGACGCCCAUGAACGAGCAUUGCAUGCUGGAGUGGAGCACACGCUGAGUAUGAUCCGCAGCAAAUAUUGGAUACCGAGGGGUCGAGCGACCGUGAAACACGUGCUGUAUGCGUGCUCCUUCUGUCGGAAUAGGAGGGCGAAGCCGUCUCAGCCGAAGAUGGCAGAUCUGCCGCGACACCGUUUUGACACGACCCGCCCAUUUCACUGCGUCGGCUUAGAUUUCUUCGGUCCGCUGCAAGUGAAGAAAUUCCGGAAGACCGAGAAACGCUGGGUCCUUUUGGUAACAUGCUUGAGCACCCGAGCUGUUCACCUAGAAGUUGUGUGGUCACUAGACACUGACAGCUUCCUCAUGGGCAUGAGGAGAUUUUUUGGACGUCGAGGCAAGCCAUCAGUGGUCUAUUCGGACAACGGUACGAACAUAGUAGCCGGUGAAAAGGAGAUGAGAACUGCAAUCAAGGAGUGGAACCAGUCUCAAAUUUUGGACGAGCUCAGCCAAGAACAGAUCGAGUGGCACUUUAAUCCUCCCACGGCGAGCCACAUGGGAGGUAUAUGGGAACGCCUUGUAGCGUCUGUGAAGAGAGCCCUGCGAGUUGUGCUGGGUCGGCAAGUCGUGACAGACGAGGUUCUGUCGACAGCCCUGGUAGAAGUCGAGUAUGUCGUCAACAGUCGACCAAUAACAUACUGCAGCGGCGACGCAGAUGACCCCGAGCCACUGACUCCGAAUCAUUUCCUGUUGGGCUCGCCAGAACUGUAUCUGCCGCCAGGAUCAACUGAUGACUCAGCUCUACUGAGCAAGAGAAGGUGGAAACAUGCUCAAGUGAUCGCCAACCACUUCUGGACAAGAUGGAGGAAAGAAUACCUCCCGAAUCUGAUGCGACGUGAAAAAUGGGCACUUGGAACCGGAGAUAUUGAAGUCGGGGAUGUUGUCAUGAUGGUGGACGACCAAGCCCCACGGGGGUACUGGCCGCUAGCGACCGUGACCCGCACUACGCCAAGCGCUGAUGGCCACGUCCGCUCCUUGCAACUCAGAACUGGCAAUGGUUUGACUUACCAACGGCCAGCAAACAAAGUGUGCUUCCUCGAACGACCUCAGGAAGCAGCAAACCAACUAUAAGAAAGACAGAAGGAACGAAUGUGUGGUGAUCCUGAUGCCAAGGAAUAUGAUCCAAGAAUGGCACUGAACAUGCACAAAUAGACACACAAACACAAAGUAACAGCAAGUACAGCAGAUUAGUUUGCAGUCACCACAUCAUACACAUCAUUCACAUCAUUCAUAUCAUGUAACAUAUGCCAGCGCUAGUCUCGGCGAUAGACUUUCAGAUAGACACACCCUGAUGACCUAGUCCGCACAGCCCGUCCGCCAAGACAGCCGUCCGACUACUGCGCCGUUAUCUCUGCACCUGUGGACGUCAACGGGAGAACGUCAUCCUGGCUGGAUCAGCUCGACACCAUGGGGCCUUACGAGAAUGUCUGAGGCGCUUCCGUCAUGCAGGAAGGAUCGACAUCAGCUGGUGACCCAGGAGCAGCAGACGAGAGAGAGCGAGCGGUAUGGUGUGCUGGACUGGUGCAGAGACGGAACUUGAGCGGCCCACUUCACGGCCCCUUCACUGACGUUACGUGCUUUCUUGAAGGGGCCGCUGAUGACGCUGACGUAUAGUGUUCCCAAGAGGUGGGACACUGGCGGGGGGAGGGUGUCGCGACCUCGAUUAUCGCUGCUGUGGAGCAGGAGCGACUUAUGCACGAGGUGGCGAAAAAUGUUUUAUUUGUGUAAAUAUUUGAAAAUUGAAAAGGCAAAAUAUGAGAAGAAUUUGAAAGCCAGUGAGCUUUUGGGCUAUUGAGUUAAUAAGCCCAUUAUUUUGAUUGGAAGAUGUGAAAUUACGACUUAUAUUUCAACUAAAUUUGUACAAGUUACCGAAGCCGAGAAUAACGAAGACACGAACGAAGAACGAACUUCCUGAAACGAAACAGAACUUUUGUUUAUAUCGAUAAAUGUAUAAGCCUGAACAAGUGAACAUUCAUCACCGCCGAGGCGACAUGAGUAACGUUUGAAACCGUUUGCCAAGCCAAAAUUGAAUAUAUCUCUCAGGACGGGCUGUGCUGCACCACUAAAU
This is an RNA transcript of Amphibalanus amphitrite, 7320 nucleotides long. RefSeq lists it as uncharacterized. NCBI's taxonomy places the organism in Eukaryota, Metazoa, Arthropoda, Thecostraca, Balanomorpha, Balanidae. The record is from RefSeq and is a predicted model, not a curated record. The transcript has 2 exons.